RNAcentral lists this ribosomal RNA (536 nucleotides) under uncultured bacterium. RNAcentral describes it as "bacterial SSU rRNA". It matches the Rfam family "Bacterial small subunit ribosomal RNA", at positions 355 to 902 of the family's 1533-position model. The record is from RNAcentral.
UGGGGAAUCUUGGACAAUGGGGGCAACCCUGAUCCAGCCAUGCCGCGUGAGUGAUGAAGGCCUUAGGGUCGUAAAGCUCUUUCGCCUGUGAAGAUAAUGACGGUAGCAGGUAAAGAAACCCCGGCUAACUCCGUGCCAGCAGCCGCGGUAAUACGGAGGGGGUUAGCGUUGUUCGGAAUUACUGGGCGUAAAGCGCACGUAGGCGGACCAGAAAGUUGGGGGUGAAAUCCCGGGGGCUCAACCCCGGAACUGCCUCCAAAACUAUUGGUCUAGAGUUCGAGAGAGGUGAGUGGAAUUCCAAGUGUAGAGGUGAAAUUCGUAGAUAUUUGGAGGAACACCAGUGGCGAAGGCGGCUCACUGGCUCGAUACUGACGCUGAGGUGCGAAAGUGUGGGGAGCAAAACAGGAUUAGAUACCCCUGGUAGUCCACGCCGUAAAACGAUGAGCACUCGGUGCCGCGGGGUAUCGACCCCUGCGGUGCCUGAGCUAACGCAUUAAGUGCUCCGCCUGGGGAGUACGGUCGCAAGGCUGAAACUC